RNAcentral lists this ribosomal RNA (397 nucleotides) under uncultured bacterium. Its description in RNAcentral is "bacterial SSU rRNA". It matches the Rfam family "Bacterial small subunit ribosomal RNA", at positions 29 to 417 of the family's 1533-position model. The record is from RNAcentral.
AACGAACGCUGGCGGCGCGCUUAACACAUGCAAGUCGAACGAGAAGGCGUAGCAAUACGCUUGUAUAGUGGCGAACGGGUGAGGAAUACGUGGGUGACCUACCCUCGAGUGGGGAAUAACCCGCCGAAAGGCGGGCUAAUGCCGCGUACGCUUCCGUCCUCGCGGGGACGGAAGGAAAGUCAUGCCGUGGGCAUGGCGCUCAAGGAUGGGCUCACGUCCUAUCAGCUUGUUGGAGGGUAACGGCCUACCAAGGCUCCGACGGGUAGCUGGUCUGAGAGGACGAUCAGCCACACUGGCACUGCGACACGGGCCAGACUCCUACGGGAGGCAGCAGUGAGGAAUAUUGCGCAAUGGGCGAAAGCCUGACGCAGCGACGCCGCGUGGGGGAUGGAAGGUC